CCGAAAAGCUCCUUCAAAUCGAUAGUUUAUUAAUUAGUUAUUAUUUAUACGUUUUAUUUGAUCAACACGAAAUGUAGCGCAAAAUAAUAUUGAUAAAGGUACAACUGCUCGUGAAGAGAGAACGAAUCCGCAAAUAAUACCAAAGUGACGGUAUAAUGUAUAACGUUCGGGUGUGUGAAUGACCGCCGCCGUGUUCGUCUCAUCGGAGAAUACAUCAUUAAAGAAAUGUUUUAUUUAUCAAUUAAAUGGAUUUAUACAAUAUUUAAUGAUAAACCAUGGUAUAUUUUCAUAUUUCCUUGAAUUCUGUGCAGAGAGUCUCGCAAUAAAGUCGUAAGAAGUCUUGGUCGUAAGGUUCGACGCUGGGCAAAAUCGUAGAUAUGGCUGAUUUUCGAGUCGCCGGGGCGAAAAUUGGACGUCGAAAAAUGAAUUUUGGUAUCAGGAGAAUAUGAUGAGUGAGGAGCCAGGGAAUCAGGAGACUAUACGCAAACGUUAGUAACUCGUCGAAAAAAAAACAAAAGAUGGGCGGAGCGUCCCAUUGGUUGCCCGGCGCCAUCAUGCUUUUUGGCGCCUGGAACCAAUAGGAAGCCGCGAAAAAGCUCGGAGCAAACUCGUCUCCUAUUUCGACGAGUUACUAACGUUUGCGCAUAGUCCCUUAAUUUCAAAAUGGACCCCGCCGCCGGAUUGAACGUGAAUCAAAUUGGCAGAGCAGAUGUUAAUUUAAACGGGUUAAUUAAUAGUAUAUUCGGACGGAUAAAGAGUAUUUAUACAGCAGUGCAUUGAGAAUAGUUUGAAAAUCAACGGUAUGGCACUGCGAGUAUAUCACGUUAUUUUGCGAAUGCUCAACCUCCACUCUAACGAUUGUAUGACAGCUCCCAGACGUUUGCACCAGAUGAGAUUCCUAUGCGUGCUGACACUCAAUUAUACAAUUAGUAAAGUGAAUACUACUGGAAGUAAAUGUCACCAUUUCGGAGUAGAAGAAUCAAAGUGCAUCCUCAAGAGCAGAGGGGCUAGAAUGACGGCUAGAACAUUAGAUUCAAUCUAUAGAAGAGUCUUAUCAUACUUGGUUGUUUUUUGAAAUGAAUACUGGAAGCGUUGACCACUGCUAUUCGUUCCAUUCUUCCAGAUCGAACUGUAUUCGUCCCAGGGGAGAAUGCAAAGCUGAAACGACAGAGUGCUUGCGGUAUACGUCAGAUGUUAUUAUUACACCCCUGUGUACCUUGGCGGAAAGUCACUGCCAGUGUGUCGCUGGGCAAGGUCCAGCUGCCCACCGCGAGCAUGUUGUUGCUCUGCUUCUGAAAACGUCACAGAGAGUUUGAGAAAGAGAAAUCAUACUUCCUAGUACAUAUAUCAUUUUAAGAACUGCAAACAUUCCACAACCCAUGGAUAUGAAAUGCAAAUCUGCUGGAGACUUGGAGUUCUACGCAAAAAGAAUCGUAACCACAGGAUCCAAAAUGCGUACAACAACUUUCGUGGAUUUCAUUACAGCCGUAUGCCUUCCGAGGAUACUAUUAUGCCGGUCUUCACCUUCGGCAUAUGAAGCUUAAGUGCCCGUCAAAAUAUCCUUGAUUUUUCACGGUUUCGAUCGAAUAUACGGCGAUAACUCGAUCAAUUUCAUAGAUGGAAUUAUUUUGCUCGCAGAUUCGGAUUCCUGAGAUCAGAAUACAUAAGGAUAGCAUGACAAACCCUUCCAAAAAAAAUCUGGAUCUUCAUCUCAGAUUUUGAGAAAAUUCCAAGGCUAUAGGCUUACUGUUUGUUUCGGCAAAAAAGUGAAGCAUUUGCCAGAAUAAUUUCGGGACGCUUUUUCUAUGUAAAAAAAGCGUACCGAACGAGAAGCCGUCAAUGAAAUUGAGCUGGCGUAAGAUUCCAUCGAGAUUCGGAUUCCUGAGAUCAAAAUACAUGAGGAUAGCGUGGGGAACCCUUCCAAAAAAAAUCUGGAUCUUCAACUCAGAUUUUGAGAAAAUUCCAAGGCUAUAGGCUUACUGUUUUUUUCGGCAAAAAAGUGAAGCAUUUGCCAGAAUAAAUUCGGGACGCUUUUUCUAUGUAAAAAAGCGUAUCGAACGAGAAGCCGUCAAUAAAAUUGAGCUGGCGUAAGAUUCCAUCGAGAUUCGGAUUCCUGAGAUCAAAAUACAUAAGGAUAGCAUGACAAACCCUACCAAAAAAAAUCUGGAUCUUCAUCUCAGAUUUUGAGAAAAUUCCAAGGCUAUAGGCUUCCUGUUUUUUUCGGCAAAAAAGUGAAGCAUUUGCCAGAAUAAAUUCGGGACGCUUUUUCUAUGUAAAAAAGCGUAUCGAACGAGAAGCCGUCAAUAAAAUUGAGCUGGCGUAAGAUUCCAUCGAGAUUCGGAUUCCUGAGAUUAAAAUACAUGAGGAUAGCGUGGGGAACCCUUCCAAAAAAAA
Athalia rosae (coleseed sawfly) is the source of this 2394-nucleotide long non-coding RNA. RefSeq lists it as uncharacterized. The record is from RefSeq and is a predicted model, not a curated record. NCBI's taxonomy places the organism in Eukaryota, Metazoa, Arthropoda, Insecta, Hymenoptera, Athaliidae. The transcript has 7 exons.